AAUUUCUUUCUGGUGGUCCUUCCUUUGUGGAGCUUUUUAUUGUGAGCCUAAAUCUUUGGAUAUAUCCCACAAGAGAAACAUUUCGGAGAGGGUUGCUCUAUAAUUUACAUUCUUAUUGUCAAAUCUGGGAAAUGAAGCACAGAUACUUUAUGAGGAAUGGCUUGUUCAUUUUAAAUGGGAAAGAAACGAAUUUGAAAUAUAACUGCCUGGCAAACAAAUUUGAAGGUGAUUAAAUCAACCAUAUUUAAAGACCGGUGAGUCCAGAGGUCAAUAACUUCUUGUCUCCUCUGCUACAAAUAUGGAGAACAGGCUGCUCCAUUUUUGCAUCAAUGUUUUAGGAUCAAAUGCCUCUCCAUACACCACAGGAGCCCACUGCGGAGCCCUGACAGCCCAGGAGUGAGUGUGAGCUCCCAUCCUGGGCUGGUGCUAUGGCCUUACCCAUAUGGAGCCUUCAUGGAGCUGAGCCAAAUUACCCCCUUCCACAAUCUAAGCAAGCACCUUUAUCUCUGGGCUUUCAUUUUCACUCUGUGGGUGUUUGGCAAUGGAGAUUAUAUUAGCAUACCAAGUAAUUAUUACCAUAUGCUAUUGUUUGAGGUCCUAACUGACGAUGUGUGUGGAGAAUGAUCUGAAUGAUACGUAUGGUAUCUCUCUUUACACACAGAGACAGGGGGAUCUAGGGUGUGACUAACUUCUUCCUAAAUACAGUUAAAAUUAUCUGCACCCAAAUUAUAUAUAUUUUUUUGCUACUGACUGUACAGGGAACCCAUCUCAGUCACAGCUGUCCCACUUGGAGAUGCCUUAUGGUAAAGUAAUUCUCACCUGAAAGAUGGACAGUUAAAUUCAACCCAAAACUUUAGUCCACACAGAAUACACAGUGUUAAGCAAGUCAGUCAGUGUAAUAAAUACAUGCCUAAACAUCUCCUCCAAGGGUUUAAAAAAUAAAACAAAAUAAGAACUUUGGGAAGUAAAAAUGCAGAACACCAAUCCCAGUUGAUUUUCUACAUUUUAUCAAGUGGAGGCAAACUCUCAAACAUUUGGAUAGAUUCAAGAAGAUGCCAUUUAUUUCUUGAUGUGAGGGCUAGCAGCUUUGCAAAGGGCAGGGAUGAGCGGGGACAAACUGUGAUGUUUCAAACCACUAUGCAGAGUGAACAAACUGCCGAUGGGAGACUCUGUUCCUUCAGCAAUGGCAGUGCAGCAACCUCUGCUUCUGUGUUCUUGGAGGCAUGGUGUCAGAUCCCUUAGCCUGCACCAGUGGAGUAACCUCUCCUCCCUGAGUUUCAUUUUUCCUAACACGACAUGAAGUUUCAGAUUUCCUGCAUAAAUAUUACAUGGGCCUCAGAAAUUAUUAAUAACAAGCGCAUUUGAAUUCAGAACCAGCUGUAGAAAUAAAUGUCCAGUACUUCAGAGGUAGUUUUACUUGUAGCAAACAGAGAUUAAAAAUGCAUUUUGCAACUUAUCACCUCUCAAAAAGCAUAAGAGGAAAAGUGAUAAAUUAUUAGGAUCCAAGCAUGGUAUAAAUGUGCCUGAGGUUUGAUUACUCGUAACUGUACCAGUAAUCAAAAGGGUAGGUACCAAAAUACCCGUGCUGUUCUUCCAUUAUAAACAGUAAUUUUUUAAUCUUAUCAUAUGAGUGUCUGUGAAGUCGAUGUAUUGAGCAAUUUGGAACUAAAAUUCCUGUCUUCAGG
Molecule: long non-coding RNA, 1685 nt
Organism: Gallus gallus (chicken)
Lineage: Eukaryota; Metazoa; Chordata; Aves; Galliformes; Phasianidae
Source: Ensembl